Molecule: long non-coding RNA, 3307 nt
Organism: Bombyx mori (domestic silkworm)
Lineage: Eukaryota; Metazoa; Arthropoda; Insecta; Lepidoptera; Bombycidae
Exons: 2
Source: RefSeq, a predicted model, not a curated record
AUGGUAGGACGAAGUGUUAUAUUAUGAUUGCUGUAUGAAGUAAAAAUCUUCGAUACAUUUUGUAAAUCUAUAUUUACGGAAUGUAUAAAUAUUACUAUUAUUUUGUCAGUUAUCUUUUGUGUCACUGAUAUUUUACGAGUACAACACUCUUCAAACCGAAUAAGACAAAAACCUGAAGAUUAAUGAUAAAUGAAAAAUAAAAUGAAUGAUAAAUUAAAAAUAUCCAGUUGAAAAUUUCUGCAAAUCUCACAUAGGGUAAAACACCCAGUAGUCAGCCUUUUAGUGGGAUUCUUAACUUGAUUCACCUGUAUUUUUAAAAAUAAAAGACUUUAAAUGAAAAAAAUUUUUUUUACAGAAAGUUUGUUUAUUAAAUUUACUAAAGAGAUACAAUUUUUUUUUAAAUUUUGAUAGAAUUAUAUAAAAAAUCAAUAUUAAACAAAAUAUGGCACUUUUUACCGGUAGUCAGCCUCAUUUCUCCACAAGUCAGCCAUGUCUUACCCUAUAGUCAGCCUUUUACUUAUUAUUGCACAUUGGACAUACAAAUUCUUUAUUAUAGACAUUUUCGUAGUCUUCACCUGCAAAUAUAGUUCAUUUUAAAUGAUACCACGCAGGACAAUUGUCACAAUCAAUAUUUUUGAAGUCGUUUAUAUCUGUGUCAUUAGUCAACUCCUCUUCACACGAAUCGCAUCUUAUUCUGUUUACUGUGCAUGUCGUACUUUUCUUCUUACUUAUAUUUUUUUGGACAUCAAAAACUUUUGAGCUUUCCUUUUUUGUAAUUCUUCUUCCUUCUUUUGUCUUUCUUCUUCAGUCUUUUUUAGCUUCCAUUCUUUUCUGCUUUUUAAUCAAUAUUUCGUUCUUUUUCUGUUCAUGAACAUGCUUCGACGCAGUUUAUAUCUUCUUGCGUAUUAAAUUCAGAUGCUCCUGUUUCCUGGACUUCAUGAUUUUGUUGCAAGACUUCGAAGUCUGUUAUGAAUUCGAAGUCAUUUAAGGGUACUUUCGGUUAAAUUAAUGAAAUUAUUGUCCAAUGUGCAAUCCCCUAUAAUUGGCAAACUAACAUGAAGAAUUUCAACUGAUUCUGACGCUAUUUUUAGAAUCAAUAGAUUUUGAGGUAUCGAUUUGGACGGCCUGGCUAAUUGAAUUUACUGUAGAAUUUAAACUUUCAGUACCGACCACAUUCUUUGCUCUGUUUAAAACAUCGAUAGCGAUUUUGAUUCUCUUAACUCCGGAUUUCGUUUAAGAAAUGAGUUCAAUUUCUUCCCUGGCCUAUUAUUUACAAAUGGGUCAGGUCUGUUUUCUUGGGAAAUAAUAUUAUGGACGGUAUAAAGGAUCAUCACAUUUAAAGGGAAGCCACAUUCUGCCAAAGCAAUGCACCAGUCUUUCAAGGCAGUUUCUUCGUCUUUGGUAAGUACUAAGUCCGCUCCCAUUUUACGAGGUGCUUCUGGGACUCUUAAAUGCAGGCGAUCUUGUAAAGUACCUCGUGGUACGCUAAAAACUCGACUAGGUAGCUUCUCUAAUCUUCAUCCCGUUUCUGAUCGCGGCCAUAGCCUAUGACAACUGCUCUUCUUUGUACUGGUGGAUUGGUCGUUUUGACAUUAUGAAACUCUAGAAUAUAAGAUUUUAACUUGAUCCUUAUUAAAAUGCAUUAAAGUUCAAUAUUACACAAUAGAACUAACGGCCGACUAUAGGAGUUAAUAGUCCAUUAGUCAGCCCUCAGCAUAUAUUUUACUUUUAUACACGGCUGACUACUGGUAAAAUAAUAUUUUGGUCAUCUAAGAGUUAUAUUCAAUCCAAAGCAAAUAACAAGGACUAUUCUCUGUGUUAAUUUCGACGAAUUCUAAGAAAAUCGUAAAAAACCAGUAGUCAGCCCCUUGCUGCUGACUUCUGGAUCAACCUUAACAAAUCGUAACCCAGAAGUCGGCCCCCUAAAUUGAAACGAAAUAAACAUAUAAAAUGCCUCUAAUGCUUAAUGUUAUCGUAGAAAAAACAUUAUACAACAACAUAACAUAAAAAUCUACCAGCAAUUAGAACAAAUUCAUAGAAAAACUUACCAAAACCUCGAACACGUUUCCUUACGAAAAAAAUAGCAAAAGUGACACAUCCUGUCCUUUCGUUGGCGGCAGUGGAAAUGAACGAGUACAGAGGUUCAACCUGUCACGCUAUCGGUUCUUAGAUGUGCACAGUAACCAGCAAGAGAGCAUAGAUUUGAUUAAACGUUAUUUCAAUGGUGUAAGUCCAUUUCAACACUAUUUAUACCAAAAUAAAACCCAUAAAGGCUGAGUACUGGUGCGGGGCUGACUUCUGGGGGUUUUACCCUAUACAAGCUACAAUGUCUAUUUUUUUUUUAUCAUUCGUAAGAAACAGAAUGAAUGUACAGUCGUUCACUACUGAAUUAUUCAUUUAGUAUGAUCACGAACUGCGAACGCAAUAUACGUCUUCAGGUGAAAGUUAAUUGAAGAUAUCUGAGACACAUAUUUCAAAGAUAAUGCAUGAAGCUAAAGCAACACGGACUGCGAUUGUGACUUACGAUGCUUGGUAACGAGUCAACGACCCUGUUAGUUACUGAUGAUUGGCUUUUUGAUAUUUUGAAUUCUGUUGAGGAUCUAAAACUUCUGAAUAUAUUCACUUGGCUGUUAGAUAGUAUGUUAUUUUCUUAAAAUAUAAUUGUAUAAUGAAUGAGACGCAACUUUUUCGUAAUUAAUAAAAGUAUAAUCUGAAAAAUAGUACUAAUCACAAAAUCACAAAAAUGUUCUAGUAUCCGUUCUCGACUGAAAUACAUUUUAUUAUUAUUCGCUAAUAAGACACACCAUCUUGGCGCCAAAAGGCUAACUGUACUUAUUCGUUACUAGCUAUAUAAUACAUAUGUAGUUAUCGACGACAAUACUGAUAGCACUGACUGAAUCAAUACCGGACUGGCGACAGCGUCUCUAAAUAGCUGAACCCUAUCGCUAGCCUCCCAUCAAUCUCUCGGCAAACCUAUCAAUGUAGAUUAUUAAACACCUCUGCUUUCCUACGGAGUGACAGGUUUCUCCAGAUAUCUCUUGGACUCGUCCAGCCGACUUUAGUUUUAUCGGUGCCACUAUCUCCCACACUGCUGGAGCAUCUAGAUAACUUUGUUUGUGGUCCAUUGCCGGUAGAAAAAGCCCGAUUUGCCAUUAUGUACACAUCCAAUUUAAAAAGCACAGUAUAAUGAAUCGCUCACAAUCUCUUCUACAAUUUUAUUGAAAAAGACAAAUAUGUGCGCGAAGUCGUAUUACUAUCAUACAAAAUAAACACACAACACCAAGCACUGGUCGUUUUUUUUUCAUAU